GAUGCCCAGCUUGCUGGGUGGAUUAGUGGCGAACGGGUGAGUAACACGUGAGUAACCUGCCCCUGACUCUGGGAUAAGCGUUGGAAACGACGUCUAAUACUGGAUAUGAUCACUGGCCGCAUGGUCUGGUGGUGGAAAGAUUUUUUGGUUGGGGAUGGACUCGCGGCCUAUCAGCUUGUUGGUGAGGUAAUGGCUCACCAAGGCGACGACGGGUAGCCGGCCUGAGAGGGUGACCGGCCACACUGGGACUGAGACACGGCCCAGACUCCUACGGGAGGCAGCAGUGGGGAAUAUUGCACAAUGGGCGAAAGCCUGAUGCAGCAACGCCGCGUGAGGGAUGACGGCCUUCGGGUUGUAAACCUCUUUUAGUAGGGAAGAAGCGAAAGUGACGGUACCUGCAGAAAAAGCACCGGCUAACUACGUGCCAGCAGCCGCGGUAAUACGUAGGGUGCAAGCGUUGUCCGGAAUUAUUGGGCGUAAAGAGCUCGUAGGCGGUUUGUCGCGUCUGCUGUGAAAUCCCGAGGCUCAACCUCGGGCUUGCAGUGGGUACGGGCAGACUAGAGUGCGGUAGGGGAGAUUGGAAUUCCUGGUGUAGCGGUGGAAUGCGCAGAUAUCAGGAGGAACACCGAUGGCGAAGGCAGAUCUCUGGGCCGUAACUGACGCUGAGGAGCGAAAGCAUGGGGAGCGAACAGGAUUAGAUACCCUGGUAGUCCAUGCCGUAAACGUUGGGCGCUAGAUGUAGGGACCUUUCCACGGUUUCUGUGUCGUAGCUAACGCAUUAAGCGCCCCGCCUGGGGAGUA
RNAcentral lists this ribosomal RNA (801 nucleotides) under Curtobacterium sp. Its description in RNAcentral is "bacterial SSU rRNA". It matches the Rfam family "Bacterial small subunit ribosomal RNA", at positions 70 to 882 of the family's 1533-position model. Lineage: Bacteria; Bacillati; Actinomycetota; Actinomycetes; Micrococcales; Microbacteriaceae. The record is from RNAcentral.